Molecule: transfer RNA, 77 nt
Filed under: Collinsella stercoris
Lineage: Bacteria; Bacillati; Actinomycetota; Coriobacteriia; Coriobacteriales; Coriobacteriaceae
Also listed under: 5 other names
Description: tRNA-Lys
Rfam family: tRNA
About the family: Transfer RNA (tRNA) molecules are approximately 80 nucleotides in length. Their secondary structure includes four short double-helical elements and three loops (D, anti-codon, and T loops). Further hydrogen bonds mediate the characteristic L-shaped molecular structure. tRNAs have two regions of fundamental functional importance: the anti-codon, which is responsible for specific mRNA codon recognition, and the 3' end, to which the tRNAs corresponding amino acid is attached (by aminoacyl-tRNA synthetases). tRNAs cope with the degeneracy of the genetic code in two manners: having more than one tRNA (with a specific anti-codon) for a particular amino acid; and 'wobble' base-pairing, i.e. permitting non-standard base-pairing at the 3rd anti-codon position.
Source: RNAcentral
GGGCGAUUAGCUCAGCUGGCUAGAGCAGGGGACUCUUAAUCCCAAGGUCCAGGGUUCGAAUCCCUGAUCGCCCACCA